Small nuclear RNA from Apodemus sylvaticus (European woodmouse), 103 nucleotides. The record is from RefSeq and is a predicted model, not a curated record. Lineage: Eukaryota; Metazoa; Chordata; Mammalia; Rodentia; Muridae.
UUGCUUUAGCAGUACAUAUAUUAAAAUUGGAAUGAAAAAGAGAAGAUUAGCAUGGUCCCAGUGGAAGAAUGACAUGCAAAUUCGUGAAGCUUUCCAUUUUUUU